RNAcentral lists this ribosomal RNA (230 nucleotides) under uncultured bacterium. Its description in RNAcentral is "partial 16S ribosomal RNA". It matches the Rfam family "Bacterial small subunit ribosomal RNA", at positions 1270 to 1500 of the family's 1533-position model. The record is from RNAcentral.
AAUCCCUAAAAGACCAUCCCAGUUCGGAUUGCAGGCUGCAACCCGCCUGUAUGAAGUUGGAAUCGCUAGUAAUCGCGGAUCAGCAUGCCGCGGUGAAUACGUUCCCGGGCCUUGUACACACCGCCCGUCACACCAUGAGAGUCGGGAACACCCGAAGUCCGUAGCCUAACCGCAAGGGGGGCGCGGCCGAAGGUGGGUUCGAUAAUUGGGUGAAGUCGUAACAAGGUACC